AAGCAAACUGGUUCUAUCGCUGUCCCGUCUCUGGCGGGAGAGAGGAAAGUCCGGGCAACAUAGAGCAACACGCUUCCUAACGGGAAGGGUUCCGAUUUGUCGGAAAACAGAAAGUGCCACAGAAAAUAUACCACUCCGACUUGUCGGAGUAAGGGUGAAAACGUGAGGUAAGAGCUCACGGUCUUGUAUGGUGACAUACAUUACGGUAAACCUCGUGUGUUGAAAGACCAAAUAGAUCGCAGAAUCUGAAGGCUGCUCGUCUUCUUCCGACCCGUCGGAAUCUGCGAAGGGUAGGUUGAUGGAUCCCGCGAGUGAUUGCGGGACUAGAUAAAUGAUAGAAGCCUCGAUGCGUCGGGGUACAGAACCCGGCUUAUAAGGUUUGCUUCUUU
RNAcentral lists this RNase P RNA (389 nucleotides) under Sphingobacterium sp. SGG-5. RNAcentral describes it as "Bacterial RNase P class A". It matches the Rfam family "Bacterial RNase P class A". From Rfam's summary of the family: Ribonuclease P (RNase P) is a ubiquitous endoribonuclease, found in archaea, bacteria and eukarya as well as chloroplasts and mitochondria. Lineage: Bacteria; Pseudomonadati; Bacteroidota; Sphingobacteriia; Sphingobacteriales; Sphingobacteriaceae. The record is from Rfam by way of RNAcentral.